RNAcentral lists this ribosomal RNA (479 nucleotides) under uncultured bacterium. RNAcentral's name for it is "partial 16S ribosomal RNA". It matches the Rfam family "Bacterial small subunit ribosomal RNA", at positions 28 to 507 of the family's 1533-position model. The record is from RNAcentral.
GACGAACGCUGGCGGCGCGCUUAACACAUGCAAGUCGAGCGAUGAAAUUUCGACAGAUCCCUUCGGGGUGAAGAUGAAAUGGAUUAGCGGCGGACGGGUGGGUAACACGUGAGUAACCUGCCUUUGACAUUGGGAUAGCCUCGGGAAACUGGGAUUAAUACCAAAUGACACUAACUGAUCACAUGAUCAAUUAGUCAAAGAAAUUCGGUCAAAGAUGGACUCGCGGCUGAUUAGCUAGUUGGUGAGGUAACGGCCCACCAAGGCGACGAUCAGUAGCCGGCCUGAGAGGGUGAUCGGCCACAUUGGAACUGAGACACGGUCCAAACUCCUACGGGAGGCAGCAGUGGGGAAUAUUGCACAAUGGGGGAAACCCUGAUGCAGCGACGCCGCGUGAGCGAAGAAGGCCUUCGGGUCGUAAAGCUCUUUUAUGAGGGAAGAUAAUGACGGUACCUCAAGAAAAAGCCCCGGCUAACUACGUG